Molecule: long non-coding RNA, 232 nt
Filed under: Mytilus galloprovincialis (Mediterranean mussel)
Lineage: Eukaryota; Metazoa; Mollusca; Bivalvia; Mytilida; Mytilidae
Source: RNAcentral
GGCGGGUCGAAGGGGAUGGCAUCCGGGGGUUGGACUCCCCUUUUUGUGAGCAAUCAUUGCAUUUAAUGGUAAUCUCGGGAAUCCUCUUAAGUUCCUAUAUACAAGGUGAUAGGACGUGCCGUUGGAAUAGGUCACCUUUUCAGGCUUAAAAAUAUGUGAAUAGGUCGGGAAAAACUCUCGUUUGACACUUAGGUAUAGCACUGUUACAUUACACACCAAAGAAAACGCAAAC